UCAGAGCGAACGCUGGCGGCAGGCUUAACACAUGCAAGUCGAACGCUCAUCUUCGGAUGGGAGUGGCAGACGGGUGAGUAACACGUGGGAACGUACCCUUCGGUUCGGAACAACUCUGGGAAACUGGAGCUAAUACCGGAUACGCCCUUUUGGGGAAAGGUUUACUGCCGAAGGAUCGGCCCGCGUCUGAUUAGCUAGUUGGUGGGGUAACGGCCUACCAAGGCGACGAUCAGUAGCUGGUCUGAGAGGAUGAUCAGCCACAUUGGGACUGAGACACGGCCCAAACUCCUACGGGAGGCAGCAGUGGGGAAUAUUGGACAAUGGGCGCAAGCCUGAUCCAGCCAUGCCGCGUGAGUGAUGAAGGCCUUAGGGUUGUAAAGCUCUUUUGUCCGGGACGAUAAUGACGGUA
This 409-nucleotide ribosomal RNA is filed under the name Methylobacterium sp. RNAcentral's name for it is "bacterial SSU rRNA". It matches the Rfam family "Bacterial small subunit ribosomal RNA", at positions 24 to 477 of the family's 1533-position model. The record is from RNAcentral. Lineage: Bacteria; Pseudomonadati; Pseudomonadota; Alphaproteobacteria; Hyphomicrobiales; Methylobacteriaceae.